AUUACUGUAUAUGUAUUCAGCCGUGAUUCCCAAAGGUUCAUUUUAUGACAGCAUCUUUCUGAUUUCCUCACAGUUUAUUAUCUUCCCAUUGCCCAAGUUUAGUAACUUUAUAUUAGUUUUGGCUUCGUACAGGCACCACUCAUUGGGAGCAACACAGAAAUCUGUUUCAAAACAUCAUUUCAGGAAAAAGAGAAUAUUUUAGUGUUGAGGAUCUUUAAAAGUAUUGCAGUACUUUAUAGAACUAAGUUGUAGGAGCUAAGAGGAUCUUUUAAUUCAUGCUAUGCAAUUAUGUAUUUUUUGUUGUUGUUGUAUUUUAUUUUAUUUUGAUUUGUAUGACUUCGGAAGAGGGUAUGAUUUUACCAUUCAAGAAAAUGGACUUCAGAUAGAUCAACCUCCUGAAAUAGGAAACAUCUCCAUUGUUCGCAUCAUAAUAAUGAAAAAUGAUAACGCAGAAGGCAUCAUUGAAUUUGACCCAAAGUAUACUGCCUUCGAAGUGGAGGAAGAUGUUGGGCUGAUCAUGAUCCCAGUGGUGAGGCUACAUGGAACUUAUGGCUAUGUGACAGCUGAUUUCAUCUCUCAGAGCUCCUCUGCCAGUCCCGGAGGUGUUGAUUACAUUUUGCAUGGCACUACAGUCACCUUUCAGCAUGGGCAAAACUUAAGUUUUAUAAAUAUCUCCAUCAUUGAUGACAAUGAAAGUGAAUUUGAGGAGCCCAUUGAAAUUCUACUCACUGGAGCUACUGGAGGAGCGGUCCUUGGGCGCCACCUAGUGAGCAGAAUCAUAAUAGCUAAGAGUGACUCUCCCUUUGGAGUUAUAAGGUUUCUCAAUCAAAGCAAAAUUUCUAUUCCUAAUCCCAAUUCCACAAUGAUUUUAUCACUGGUGCUGGAGCGGACUGGAGGACUCUUGGGAGAGAUUCAGGUGAACUGGGAGACAGUAGGACCCAACUCUCAAGAAGCCUUACUGCCACAGAAUAGAGACAUUGCAGACCCAGUGAGCGGGUUGUUCUAUUUUGGAGAAGGAGAAGGAGGAGUGAGAACCAUAAUUCUGACAAUCUAUCCUCAUGAAGAAAUUGAAGUUGAAGAGACAUUCAUUAUUAAACUUCAUCUUGUGAAAGGAGAAGCUAAAUUAGACUCCAGAGCUAAAGAUGUUACAUUAACCAUACAAAAGUUUGGUGACCCAAAUGGAGUUGUUCAGUUUGCUCCUGAGACUUUGUCUAAGAAGACUUAUUCAGAGCCUCUGGCUCUGGAAGGGCCCCUGCUCAUUACCUUCUUUGUCAGAAGAGUCAAGGGCACCUUUGGAGAGAUUAUGGUUUACUGGGAAUUAAGUAGUGAGUUUGACAUUACUGAAGACUUUCUUUCCACCAGUGGAUUUUUCACCAUUGCUGAUGGAGAGAGUGAAGCUAGCUUUGAUGUUCAUUUGCUACCAGAUGAGGUACCUGAGAUAGAGGAAGAUUAUGUGAUCCAGCUUGUUUCUGUAGAGGGAGGAGCCGAACUGGAUCUGGAGAAAAGUAUCACAUGGUUCUCUGUUUAUGCAAAUGAUGACCCACAUGGAGUAUUUGCCCUGUAUUCGGAUCGCCAGUCAAUACUUAUUGGGCAGAACCUUAUUAGAUCCAUCCACAUUAACAUAACCCGGCUUGCUGGAACAUUUGGAGAUGUGGCUGUUGGGCUUCGAAUAUCAUCGGAUCAUAAAGAACAGCCAAUUGUUACCGAAAAUGCAGAGAGGCAGCUGGUGGUCAAAGAUGGUGCCACAUAUAAAGUGGACGUGGUGCCAAUAAAGAAUCAGGUCUUCCUAUCACUGGGCUCUAAUUUCACUUUGCAACUGGUGACUGUGAUGCUUGUCGGUGGACGUUUCUAUGGAAUGCCAACAAUUCUUCAGGAAGCAAAAUCUGCUGUCCUUCCAGUCUCUGAGAAAGCUGCCAAUUCUCAGGUCGGAUUUGAAUCCACUGCUUUUCAACUCAUGAACAUCACUGCUGGCACAAGCCACGUUAUGAUUUCUAGGAGAGGCACAUAUGGCGCUCUCUCGGUUGCCUGGACCACUGGAUAUGCUCCUGGGUUAGAAAUUCCUGAAUUCAUUGUUGUUGGCAACAUGACCCCAACACUGGGGAGCCUUUCAUUUUCCCACGGUGAACAAAGGAAAGGAGUUUUCCUGUGGACGUUUCCUAGCCCUGGUCGGCCAGAGGCCUUUGUUCUUCACCUAUCAGGAGUGCAGAGCAGUGCUCCUGGCGGAGCUCAACUCCGAUCAGGUUUCAUUGUUGCUGAAAUUGAACCAAUGGGCGUCUUCCAAUUUUCCACUAGCUCAAGAAAUAUCAUAGUGUCAGAAGAUACACAGAUGAUCAGAUUACAUGUACAAAGACUAUUUGGGUUCCACAGCGAUCUUAUUAAAGUUUCUUAUCAGACCACUGCAGGAAGCGCCAAGCCACUGGAAGAUUUUGAGCCUGUUCAGAAUGGGGAACUGUUUUUUCAAAAAUUCCAAACUGAGGUUGAUUUUGAAAUAACCAUUAUUAAUGAUCAGCUUUCUGAGAUAGAAGAAUUUUUUUACAUUAACCUUACUUCAGUAGAAAUUAGGGGAUUACAAAAGUUUGAUGUUAAUUGGAGCCCACGCCUGAAUCUAGAUUUCAGUGUUGCAGUGAUUACAAUAUUGGAUAAUGAUGACCUGGCAGGAAUGGAUAUUUCCUUCACCGAGACAACUGUGGCUGUAGCAGUUGACACAACUCUCAUUCCUGUAGAAACUGAAUCCACCACAUACCUCAGCACGAGCAAGACGACUACUAUUCUGCAGCCAACCAACGUGGUUGCCAUUGUUACUGAGGCAACUGGUGUAUCUGCCAUCCCUGAGAAACUUGUCACCCUUCAUGGCACACCUGCUGUGUCUGAAAAGCCUGAUGUGGCCACUGUAACUGCCAAUGUUUCCAUUCAUGGAACAUUCAGCCUUGGGCCAUCCAUUGUUUAUGUUGAAGAGGAGAUGAAGAAUGGCACAUUCAACACUGCAGAAGUUCUUAUCCGAAGAACUGGUGGGUUUACUGGCAAUGUCAGCAUAACAGUUAAAACUUUCGGUGAAAAAUGUGCUCAGAUGGAACCAAAUGCAUUGCCCUUUCGUGGUAUCUAUGGGAUUUCCAACCUAACAUGGGCAGUUGAAGAAGAAGACUUUGAAGAACAAACUCUUACCCUUAUAUUCCUAGAUGGAGAAAGAGAACGUAAAGUAUCAGUUCAAAUUUUGGAUGAUGAUGAGCCUGAGGGGCAGGAAUUCUUCUACGUGUUUCUCACAAACCCUCAAGGGGGAGCACAGAUUGUGGAGGGGAAGGAUGAUACUGGAUUUGCAGCUUUUGCCAUGGUUAUUAUUACAGGGAGUGACCUUCACAAUGGCAUCAUAGGAUUCAGUGAGGAGUCCCAGAGUGGACUAGAACUCAGGGAAGGAGCUGAUAUGAGAAGAUUGCACCUUAUUGUCACAAGACAGCCAAACAGGGCCUUUGAAGAUGUCAAGGUCUUUUGGCGAGUCACACUUAACAAAACAGUCGUCGUGCUCCAGAAGGAUGGGAUAAACCUGAUGGAGGAACUUCAGUCUGUGUCAGGGACCACAACCUGUACAAUGGGUCAAACAAAAUGCUUUAUCAGCAUUGAACUCAAACCAGAAAAGAUACCACAGGUUGAAGUGUAUUUUUUUGUGGAACUAUAUGAAGCUACUGCUGGAGCAGCAAUAAACAACAGUGCCAGAUUCGCACAGAUUAAAAUCUUAGAAAGUGAUGAAUCUCAAAGCCUUGUGUAUUUUUCUGUGGGUUCUCGGCUGGCAGUGGCUCACAAAAAGGCCACUUUAAUCAGUCUGCAGGUGGCCAGAGAUUCUGGGACAGGACUAAUGAUGUCUGUUAACUUUAGUACCCAGGAGUUGAGGAGUGCUGAAACAAUUGGUCGUACCAUCAUAUCUCCAGCUAUUUCUGGAAAGGAUUUUGUGAUAACUGAAGGCACAUUGGUCUUUGAACCUGGCCAGAGAAGCACUGUAUUGGAUGUCAUCCUAACGCCAGAGACAGGAUCUUUAAAUUCAUUUCCUAAACGCUUCCAGAUUGUCCUUUUUGACCCAAAAGGUGGUGCCAGAAUUGAUAAAGUGUAUGGGACUGCCAACAUCACUCUUGUCUCAGAUGCAGAUUCGCAGGCCAUUUGGGGGCUUGCAGAUCAGCUACAUCAGCCUGUGAAUGAUGAUAUUCUCAACAGAGUGCUCCAUACCAUCAGCAUGAAAGUGGCCACAGAAAACACAGAUGAACAACUCAGUGCCAUGAUGCAUUUAAUAGAAAAGAUAACUACUGAAGGAAAAAUUCAAGCUUUCAGUGUUGCCAGCCGAACUCUUUUCUAUGAGAUUCUUUGUUCUCUUAUUAACCCAAAGCGCAAGGACACUAGGGGAUUCAGUCACUUUGCUGAAGUGACUGAGAAUUUUGCCUUUUCUCUGCUGACUAAUGUUACUUGCGGCUCUCCUGGUGAAAAAAGCAAAACCAUCCUUGAUAGUUGCCCAUAUUUGUCAAUAUUGGCUCUUCACUGGUAUCCUCAGCAAAUCAAUGGACACAAGUUUGAAGGAAAGGAAGGAGAUUACAUUCAAAUUCCAGAGAAGCUACUGGAUGUCCAGGAUGCAGAAAUAAUGGCUGGGAAAAGUACAUGUAAAUUAGUCCAGUUUACAGAGUAUAGCAGCCAACAGUGGUUUAUAAGUGGAAACAAUCUUCCUACCCUAAAAAAUAAGGUAUUAUCUUUGAGUGUGAAAGGUCAGAGUUCACAACUCCUGACUAAUGACAAUGAGGUUCUCUACAGGAUUUAUGCUGCUGAGCCUAGAAUUAUUCCUCAGACAUCUCUGUGUCUCCUUUGGAAUCAGGCUGCUGCAAGCUGGUUGUCUGACAGUCAGUUUUGCAAAGUGGUUGAGGAAACUGCAGACUAUGUGGAAUGUGCCUGUUCACACAUGUCUGUGUAUGCUGUCUAUGCUCAGACUGACAACUUGUCUUCAUACAAUGAAGCCUUCUUCACUUCUGGAUUUAUAUGUAUCUCAGGUCUUUGCUUGGCUGUUCUUUCCCAUAUCUUCUGUGCCAGGUACUCCAUGUUUGCAGCUAAACUUCUGACUCACAUGAUGGCAGCCAGCUUAGGUACACAGAUUCUGUUUCUGGCGUCUGCAUACGCAAGUCCCCAACUGGCUGAGGAGAGCUGUUCAGCUAUGGCUGCUGUCACACAUUACCUAUAUCUUUGCCAGUUUAGCUGGAUGCUCAUUCAGUCUGUGAAUUUCUGGUACGUGCUGGUGAUGAAUGAUGAGCACACAGAGAGGCGAUAUCUGCUGUUUUUCCUUCUGAGUUGGGGACUACCAGCUUUUGUGGUGAUUCUCCUCAUAGUUAUUUUGAAAGGAAUCUAUCAUCAGAGCAUGUCACAGAUCUAUGGACUCAUUCAUGGUGACCUGUGUUUUAUUCCAAACGUCUAUGCUGCUUUGUUCACUGCAGCUCUUGUUCCUUUGAUGUGCCUCGUGGUGGUGUUCGUGGUGUUCAUCCAUGCCUACCAGGUGAAGCCACAGUGGAAAGCAUAUGAUGAUAUCUUCAGAGGAAGGACAAAUGCUGCAGAAAUUCCACUGAUUUUAUAUCUCUUUGCUCUGAUUUCCGUGACAUGGCUUUGGGGAGGACUACACAUGGCCUACAGACACUUCUGGAUGUUGGUUCUCUUUGUCAUUUUCAACAGUCUGCAGGGACUUUAUGUUUUCGUGGUUUAUUUCAUUUUACACAACCAAAUGUGUUGCCCUAUGAAGGCCAGUUACACUGUGGAAAUGAAUGGGCAUCCUGGACCCAGCACAGCCUUUUUCACGCCCGGGAGUGGAAUGCCUCCUGCUGGAGGGGAAAUCAGCAAGUCCACCCAGAAUCUCAUCAGUGCUAUGGAGGAGGUGCCACCUGACUGGGAGAGAGCAUCCUUCCAACAGGGCAGUCAGGCCAGCCCUGAUUUAAAGCCAAGUCCACAAAAUGGAGCCACGUUCCCGUCCUCUGGAGGAUAUGGCCAGGGGUCACUGAUAGCCGAUGAGGAGUCCCAGGAGUUUGAUGAUUUAAUAUUUGCAUUAAAAACUGGUGCUGGUCUCAGUGUCAGUGAUAAUGAAUCUGGUCAAGGCAGCCAGGAGGGGGGCACCUUGACUGACUCCCAGAUCGUGGAGCUCAGGAGGAUACCCAUCGCCGACACUCACCUGUAGCACCUCACUAACCAUUCGACUGAGCACACUUUCAUAUUUGUAUCAGCUUUUGUGCUAAAACUCUCUAAGUACAUCCACCUGUGUAAUAGGAACCUGUGAACUGUACUGGAUGAUUAACACAAACGUGAUUGUUGUAUUUGGAGUAUAAAUUACUGAUUGUAUGUGACCUGAAAAUUCACUGCUAUAAGAAAGGUGGAGUCAGUUUGUAUCAGUUAAUAGGAUGUUCAUAUUCCAAGGAUAUUAGUUGUUUUUUUAAUCAUCCUAUAUGGCUAACAUUGUUUAAUGAAAGUAAUAAUCAAUAAAGCAAUAGAAUCU
This 6499-nucleotide small RNA is filed under the name Pan troglodytes (chimpanzee). RNAcentral describes it as "retained intron". Lineage: Eukaryota; Metazoa; Chordata; Mammalia; Primates; Hominidae. The record is from RNAcentral.